This 497-nucleotide ribosomal RNA is filed under the name uncultured bacterium. RNAcentral describes it as "partial 16S ribosomal RNA". It matches the Rfam family "Bacterial small subunit ribosomal RNA", at positions 28 to 507 of the family's 1533-position model. The record is from RNAcentral.
GAUGAACGCUGGCGGCGUGCCUAAUACAUGCAAGUCGAGCGAACGGACGAGAAGCUUGCUUCUCUGAUGUUAGCGGCGGACGGGUGAGUAACACGUGGAUAACCUACCUAUAAGACUGGGAUAACUUCGGGAAACCGGAGCUAAUACCGGAUAAUAUUUUGAACCGCAUGGUUCAAAAGUGAAAGACGGUCUUGCUGUCACUUAUAGAUGGAUCCGCGCUACAUUAGCUAGUUGGUAAGGUAACAGCUUACCAAGGCAACGAUGCAUAGCCGACCUGAGAGGGUGAUCGGCCACACUGGAACUGAGACACGGUCCAGACUCCUACGGGAGGCAGCAGUAGGGAAUCUUCCGCAAUGGGCGAAAGCCUGACGGAGCAACGCCGCGUGAGUGAUGAAGGUCUUCGGAUCGUAAAACUCUGUUAUUAGGGAAGAACAUAUGUGUAAGUAACUGUGCACAUCUUGACGGUACCUAAUCAGAAAGCCACGGCUAACUACGUG